UUGAGACGCGGCAUACGGCUCAGUAACACGUGGCUAACCUACCCUCAGGACGGGGACAAACCCGGGAAACUGGGGCUAAUAUCCGAUAGGCGAGGAAUCCUGGAAUGGUUCUUCACCCAAAGGACAUUGGAAACAUGCUUUCUCUGUCGCCUGGGGAUGGGGCCGCGUCCGAUCAGGUUGUUGGUGAGGUAAUGGCUCACCAAGCCUUUAACCGGUACGGGCCGUGAGAGCGGUAGCCCGGAGAUGGGUACUGAGACAAGGACCCAGGCCCUACGGGGCGCAGCAGUCGCGAAAACUCCGCAAUGCACGAAAGUGUGACGGGGCUACCCCGAGUGCCGUCCGCUGAGGAUGGCUUUUCCUUGGUGUAACUAGCCGGGGGAAUAAGGAGAGGGCAAGACUGGUGUCAGCCGCCGCGGUAAUACCAGCUCUCCGAGUGGUAGGGAUGAUUAUUGGGCUUAAAGCGUCCGUAGCCGGCUUAGCAAGUUUCCUGCUUAAUUCAGCGACCUAAUCGUUGAGCCGCGGGAAAUACUACUA
RNAcentral lists this ribosomal RNA (534 nucleotides) under uncultured archaeon. RNAcentral describes it as "bacterial SSU rRNA". It matches the Rfam family "Archaeal small subunit ribosomal RNA", at positions 71 to 589 of the family's 1478-position model. The record is from RNAcentral.